UACGUAGGGUGCAAGCGUUAAUCGGAAUUACUGGGCGUAAAGCGUCCGCAGGUGGCUGUGUAAGUCUGCUGUUAAAGAGUCUAGCUCAACUAGAUACAAGCAGUGGAAACUACACGGCUAGAGUACGUUCGGGGCAGAGGGAAUUCCUGGUGUAGCGGUGAAAUGCGUAGAGAUCAGGAAGAACACCGGUGGCGAAGGCGCUCUGCUAGGCCGUAACUGACACUGAGGGACGAAAGCUAGGGGAGCGAAUGGG
RNAcentral lists this ribosomal RNA (253 nucleotides) under uncultured bacterium. RNAcentral describes it as "partial 16S ribosomal RNA". It matches the Rfam family "Bacterial small subunit ribosomal RNA", at positions 524 to 776 of the family's 1533-position model. The record is from RNAcentral.